CGCCAANUGAUGUGAAGGAAUAUUUGCUAUCCGAGAGACGGUGAUGACGCCCGAAACCACCAAGAUCGCUGAUGCA
RNAcentral lists this small nucleolar RNA (76 nucleotides) under Vulpes vulpes (red fox). Its description in RNAcentral is "Small nucleolar RNA SNORD24 (ENSVVUG00000027309.1)". It matches the Rfam family "Small nucleolar RNA SNORD24". Rfam says of the family: U24 is a member of the C/D class of snoRNA which contain the C (UGAUGA) and D (CUGA) box motifs. C/D box snoRNAs have been shown to act as methylation guides for a number of RNA targets. Lineage: Eukaryota; Metazoa; Chordata; Mammalia; Carnivora; Canidae. The record is from RNAcentral.